ACGCUGGCGGCGUGCCUAAUACAUGCAAGUAGAACGCUGAAGGAGGAGCUUGCUUCUCUGGAUGAGUUGCGAACGGGUGAGUAACGCGUAGGUAACCUGCCUGGUAGCGGGGGAUAACUAUUGGAAACGAUAGCUAAUACCGCAUAAUAGUAGAUGUUGCAUGACAUUUGCUUAAAAGAUGCAAUUGCAUCACUACCAGAUGGACCUGCGUUGUAUUAGCUAGUUGGUGGGGUAACGGCUCACCAAGGCGACGAUACAUAGCCGACCUGAGAGGGUGAUCGGCCACACUGGGACUGAGACACGGCUCAGACUCCUACGGGAGGCAGCAGUAGGGAAUCUUCGGCAAUGGACGAAAGUCUGACCGAGCAACGCCGCGUGAGUGAAGAAGGUUUUCGGAUCGUAAAGCUCUGUUGUAAGAGAAGAACGAGUGUGAGAGUGGAAAGUUCACACUGUGACGGUAUCUUACCAGAAAGGGACGGCUAACUACGUGCCAGCAGCCGCGGUAAUACGUAGGUCCCGAGCGUUGUCCGGAUUUAUUGGGCGUAAAGCGAGCGCAGGCGGUUAGAUAAGUCUGAAGUUAAAGGCUGUGGCUUAACCAUAGUACGCUUUGGAAACUGUUUAACUUGAGUGCAAGAGGGGAGAGUGGAAUUCCAUGUGUAGCGGUGAAAUGCGUAGAUAUAUGGAAGAACACCGGUGGCGGAAGCGGCUCUCUGGCUUGUAACUGACGCUGAGGCUCGAAAGCGUGGGGAGCAAACAGGAUUAGAUACCCUGGUAGUCCACGCCGUAAACGAUGAGUGCUAGGUGUUAGACCCUUUCCGGGGUUUAGUGCCGCAGCUAACGCAUUAAGCACUCCGCCUGGGGAGUACGACCGCAAGGUUGAAACUCAAAGGAAUUGACGGGGCCCGCACAAGCGGUGGAGCAUGUG
RNAcentral lists this ribosomal RNA (925 nucleotides) under uncultured bacterium. RNAcentral describes it as "bacterial SSU rRNA". It matches the Rfam family "Bacterial small subunit ribosomal RNA", at positions 33 to 943 of the family's 1533-position model. The record is from RNAcentral.